Desulfobacteraceae bacterium 4572_87 is the source of this 46-nucleotide non-coding RNA. The record is from Rfam. Lineage: Bacteria; Pseudomonadati; Thermodesulfobacteriota; Desulfobacteria; Desulfobacterales; Desulfobacteraceae.
CCUAGGGUUGAAACCCUAGGCUAUUAUCUACCGUCCCUACGGGACU